GUAUUCAAAAAUAGAAUGAUGAGACCACUUUUUCUCAUUCCGAUUUUGGUUCCCAAAGUGGAAACAUCUUUGAGUCUUCCGUUGUGUAUUCUAAAUCGUUAACGAUUUGGUUAAAUUUACUUUCAUUCACUUAAAUCGCGAGCUAAAUAAAAAUUAUAAAUAAAAAUAAAUAAAUAUGGGAUUUCCAACUGUUUCUCGUUUUUGUUGCUGUUGCGAUUUAAGAACUGGUGGAUUAAUAGUUGGUUGGAUAGGGGUAGUAUCUUCUAUCCUUUAUAUUCUUCAAAGCCUAAUAACUGGAAAUGUAUAUGGAAUUGGAAUGGUAAUUCAAUUGGUUCUCUGUGCUUGUUGGAUUUAUGGAAUUAAGGAGAAUCAACCAGGUUAUUUGUUAAUAUCUGUCAUAUUGGAUGGAAUCGGGCUCAUUAUUUUGUACAUUGGUGUGGCUUUCAUGAUUCCGGCACUAUUUGUUAUUUUUACUUCUUCUGACAAAUCUUCAGAAGCGUCUACUAUAAAAGUUAUUUUUGUGAUUACUUUUAUUGGUUUAUGCAUCUUCUCAGCCGUUCUCACCUAUUUUUGGAUUGUGAUGUAUUCCGUCUACAAACACAUUAAAGAUACCGCCUCUGGAUCGAUGGCUCCCAAAUACGUCACAUCUGGUCCUGUAGUAAUGUCGCCAGCUUGAGUACAAAAGAUUUGAUUUGAAUAUUUCAUGAAAGUUUACUCCAAUGAAAAUUACAAUUAAACUUUCAUAUCAAAUUAUAACCAAAAUUGCCAUUCAAAUUCAUUAAAAUUGAAUAAAUCUAUACUGCAUAGAGAUUUGGCUAAAUCAACAUAUUUGAUUCUUUUUCUUCAUAAAACCUUAAGGUCCAAUCUUUUGAAAAAAAAAAUCGAUUUAAUAAUUUGAAACAGGCGCCAAUAAAUUUGAAUAAAUGUGUGCGUAUAUUUUUUCGUUCUAUUUUGUGCGAACUUUCUUCCAAUCUGUGUAUACUGUGUAUGUGUGUGUAUACUUUUCAGUAUAUAAUACGUCUUAUUAACUGAAGCACAUAAGAUAUUUAUGUCGUAUAUAUUAUAUAAGAACGAAACGCUUUUUUGGAAAUUCCUACUGUGACGCCAUACUGCACAUCUGAAAAUAGUCAAAUAUAAAUUUUCAGUGACGCUUAUAAUCAAAUACAUCAAAAUAAUAAUAUAUAUAAUUUAAUAUUUCGUUACCAAAAACAUUUACACAUUUAGCUGUAUAGUGGACAGAUUCUCCUAAUCUCUUCUACCACUAUACACAAAGACAAAAAAUAACAACAAUUGUUUGGACCGAUAUGUGUACAGUGACAGCGUAUAUAACACACGAAUGAUCUAUUCGACAAUGAAUAUCGCUCGCAAGUAACCAUGCCGUUUAUUUCUUUCCAUUCAUCUAUUUUGACACAUAUUCGCAUAAGUCUGUAUUUUAGGCAUUUGGAUGUUCUAUUUCGUUGUAUUCAAAAAUAAAAUAAUCAGACAAAGUGAUCAUUCGGGUUUUAUUUCUCAAAGUGGAAACAUCUUUGAGUCUUCCAUUGUGUAUUCUAAAUCGUUAACGAUUUGGUUAAAUUUAAUGUCAUUCACUUAAAUCGCGAGCUAAAUAAAAAUUAUAAUAAAUAAAUAUGGGAUUUCCAACUGUUUCUCGUUUUUGUUGCUGUGGCGAUUUAAGAACUGGUGGAUUAAUAGUUGGUUGGAUAGGGGUAGUAUCUUCUAUCCUUUAUAUUCUUCAAAGCUUAAUAACUGGAAAUGUAUAUGGAAAUGGAAUGGUAAUUCAAUUGGUUCUCAGUGCUUGUUGCAUUUAUGGAAUUAAGGAGAAUCAACCAAGUUAUUUGUUAAUAUCUGUCAUAUUGAAUGGAAUCGGGCUCAUUAUUUUGUACAUUGGUGUGGCUUUCAUGAUUCCGGCACUAUUUGUUAUUUUUACUUCUUCUGACAAAUCUUCAGAAGCGUCUGCUAUAAAAGUUAUUUUGGUGAUUACUUUUAUUGGUUUAUGCAUCUACUCAGCCGUUGUCACCUAUUUUUGGAUUGUGAUGUAUUCCGUCUACAAACACAUUAAAGACACCACCUCUGGAUCGACGUCUCCCAAAUACACCACCUCUGGCUAUAUAGCUACGUCACCAGCUUGAUUACAAAAGAUUUGUUUUGAGUAAUUACUGAAAGUUUAUUCCAAUGAAAAUUACAAUUAAUCUUUCAUAUCAAUAACCAAAAGGGCAAUUUAAAUUCAUUAAAAUUGAAUAAAUGUAUACUGCAUAGAGAUUUGACUUAAUCAAAA
This is an RNA transcript of Contarinia nasturtii (swede midge), 2272 nucleotides long. RefSeq lists it as uncharacterized. The record is from RefSeq and is a predicted model, not a curated record. The transcript is spliced from 7 exons. NCBI's taxonomy places the organism in Eukaryota, Metazoa, Arthropoda, Insecta, Diptera, Cecidomyiidae.